RNAcentral lists this ribosomal RNA (301 nucleotides) under uncultured bacterium. RNAcentral describes it as "partial 16S ribosomal RNA". It matches the Rfam family "Bacterial small subunit ribosomal RNA", at positions 509 to 809 of the family's 1533-position model. The record is from RNAcentral.
CAGUCGCCACGGUAACACGUAGGUGGCAAGCGUUGUCCGGAAUUAUUGGGCGUAAAGGGCUCGCAGGCGGUUUCUUAAGUCUGAUGUGAAAGCCCCCGGCUCAACCGGGGAGGGUCAUUGGAAACUGGGAAACUUGAGUGCAGAAGAGGAGAGUGGAAUUCCACGUGUAGCGGUGAAAUGCGUAGAGAUGUGGAGGAACACCAGUGGCGAAGGCGACUCUCUGGUCUGUAACUGACGCUGAGGAGCGAAAGCGUGGGGAGCGAACAGGAUUAGAUACCCGCGUAGUCCCUGUCUCUUAUAA